UACAGGGGGUGCAAACGUUGCUCGGAAUUAUUGGGCGUAAAGCGCGCGUAGGCGGCUACUUAAGUCGGAUGUGAAAGCCCCUGGCUCAACUGGGGAAGUGCACCCGAAACUGAGUAGCUAGAGUGCAAAAGAGGGUCGCGGAAUUCCCGGUGUAGAGGUGAAAUUCGUAGAUAUCGGGAGGAACACCGGUGGCGAAGGCGGCGACCUGGUUUGACACUGACGCUGAGGCGCGAAAGCGUGGGGAGCAAACAGG
RNAcentral lists this ribosomal RNA (253 nucleotides) under uncultured bacterium. RNAcentral describes it as "partial 16S ribosomal RNA". It matches the Rfam family "Bacterial small subunit ribosomal RNA", at positions 524 to 776 of the family's 1533-position model. The record is from RNAcentral.